UUAAGUUCAGCGGGUAUUCCUACCUGAUCCGAGGUCAACCUAAAAAAUUGGGGGGUUUCACGGCUGGUCACACCGCCAAAUCCAAAGCGAGAUACAUUACUGCGCUCGGAAUGACAGCGAGCCCGCCACUGUUUUUAGGGGGCUGCGGAUGGCCGCAGGGCCCCAACACAAGCCUAAGGCUUGAUGGUUGAAAUGACGCU
Molecule: unclassified non-coding RNA, 200 nt
Filed under: fungal sp.
Lineage: Eukaryota; Fungi
Description: partial internal transcribed spacer 2
Source: RNAcentral